GACAGAGGGUGCAAACGUUGUUCGGAAUUACUGGGCGUAAAGCGCGUGCAGGCGGCAGGGUGUGUCGGAUGUGAAAUCCCGUGGCUCAACCACGGAAGUGCACCCGAAACUACCCAGCUCGAGUCUCGGAGAGGAAGGUGGAAUGCUUGGUGUAGAGGUGAAAUUCGUAGAUAUCAAGCGGAACACCGGUGGCGAAGGCGGCCUUCUGGACGAUGACUGACGCUGAGACGCGAAAGCGUGGGGAGCAAACAGG
This 253-nucleotide ribosomal RNA is filed under the name uncultured bacterium. Its description in RNAcentral is "partial 16S ribosomal RNA". It matches the Rfam family "Bacterial small subunit ribosomal RNA", at positions 524 to 776 of the family's 1533-position model. The record is from RNAcentral.